RNAcentral lists this ribosomal RNA (253 nucleotides) under uncultured bacterium. RNAcentral describes it as "partial 16S ribosomal RNA". It matches the Rfam family "Bacterial small subunit ribosomal RNA", at positions 524 to 776 of the family's 1533-position model. The record is from RNAcentral.
UACGAAGGGGGCGAGCGUUGUUCGGAAUCACUGGGCGUAAAGGGCGCGUAGGCGGCCCUUCUUGUCGCGUGUGAAAGCCCCGGGCUCAACCUGGGAAUGGCGCGCGAGACGGGGGGGCUGGAGUUCGGGAGAGGAGCGUGGAAUUCCCAGUGUAGAGGUGAAAUUCGUAGAUAUUCGCAAGAACACCAGUGGCGAAGGCGGCUCACUGGCCCGAUACUGACGCUGAGGCACGAAAGCGUGGGGAGCAAACAGG